Molecule: ribosomal RNA, 460 nt
Filed under: uncultured bacterium
Lineage: Bacteria
Description: partial 16S ribosomal RNA
Rfam family: Bacterial small subunit ribosomal RNA
Source: RNAcentral
CCUACGGGAGGCAGCAGUGAGGAAUAUUGGUCAAUGGGCUUACGCCUGAACCAGCCAAGUCGCGUGAGGGAAGACUGCCCUAUGGGUUGUAAACCUCUUUUGUCAGGGAGCAACGCCGGCUACGUGUAGCCGGACUGAGAGUACCUGAAGAAAAAGCAUCGGCUAACUCCGGGCCAGCGGCCCCGGUAAAACGGAGGAUGCGAGCGUUAUCCGGAUUUAUUGGGUUUAAAGGGUGCGUAGGCGGAAUGCCAAGUCAGCGGUAAAAUCGCGGGGCUCAACCUCGCUCCGCCGUUGAAACUGGCGUUCUUGAGUGGGCGAGAAGUAUGCGGAAUGCGUGGUGUAGCGGUGAAAUGCAUAGAUAUCACGCAGAACUCCGAUUGCGAAGGCAGCAUACCGGCGCCCAACUGACGCUGAAGCACGAAAGCGUGGGUAUCGAACAGGAUUAGAUACCCCAGUAGUC